AUUGAACGCUGGCGGCAUGCCUUACACAUGCAAGUCGAACGGCAGCGGACCUUCGGGUGCCGGCGAGUGGCGAACGGGUGAGUAAUAUAUCGGAACGUACCUUUCAGUGGGGGAUAACGUAGCGAAGGUUACGCUAAUACCGCAUAUUCUGUGAGCAGGAAAGCAGGGGAUCGCAAGACCUUGCGCUGAUUGAGCGGCCGAUAUCAGAUUAGCUAGUUGGUGAGGUAAAGGCUCACCAAGGCGACGAUCUGUAGCGGGUCUGAGAGGAUGAUCCGCCACACUGGAACUGAGACACGGUCCAGACUCCUACGGGAGGCAGCAGUGGGGAAUUUUGGACAAUGGGCGCAAGCCUGAUCCAGCCAUGCCGCGUGAGUGAAGAAGGCCUCGGUUGUAAG
Molecule: ribosomal RNA, 395 nt
Filed under: uncultured bacterium
Lineage: Bacteria
Description: bacterial SSU rRNA
Rfam family: Bacterial small subunit ribosomal RNA
Source: RNAcentral